RNAcentral lists this transfer-messenger RNA (345 nucleotides) under Acutalibacteraceae. RNAcentral describes it as "Ruminococcus_E sp900317875 Standard tmRNA". It matches the Rfam family "transfer-messenger RNA". Rfam says of the family: Bacterial tmRNA, also known as 10Sa RNA or SsrA, is named for its dual tRNA and mRNA-like properties. The record is from RNAcentral. Lineage: Bacteria; Bacillati; Bacillota; Clostridia; Eubacteriales. RNAcentral also lists the same sequence under 1 other name.
GGGGAUGUAAAGGUUUCGACGGGGGAUGCGAACCCUGAUAAGCGAGCGGCGGUGCGUAACCGCCAUAAAAUCCGCAAACUUAAAAUAACUGACAAAAAAACAGUUGCUUUAGCUGCUUAAUGCAGCUCGUCUCCGCACAGAGUACCUCGGCUGUGUACGAGGCGUCGACCAGAGGUAAAGGUGAACAGGGCUUCGCUUCGCGCCCUGUCAUCACUCAGAAGCUACCGAACCUGUGAGCCUGUCGUUAGGCGCUCAGGCAAGGGAAUAUCAAUAUAGCGACUGCGCUCGGAGAAAGUCACGGCAAACAUCUUUCGGACAGGAGUUCGAUUCUCCUCAUCUCCACCA